RNAcentral lists this transfer RNA (85 nucleotides) under Bacteriophage sp. RNAcentral describes it as "tRNA-Ser". It matches the Rfam family "tRNA". Rfam says of the family: Transfer RNA (tRNA) molecules are approximately 80 nucleotides in length. Their secondary structure includes four short double-helical elements and three loops (D, anti-codon, and T loops). Further hydrogen bonds mediate the characteristic L-shaped molecular structure. tRNAs have two regions of fundamental functional importance: the anti-codon, which is responsible for specific mRNA codon recognition, and the 3' end, to which the tRNAs corresponding amino acid is attached (by aminoacyl-tRNA synthetases). tRNAs cope with the degeneracy of the genetic code in two manners: having more than one tRNA (with a specific anti-codon) for a particular amino acid; and 'wobble' base-pairing, i.e. permitting non-standard base-pairing at the 3rd anti-codon position. The record is from RNAcentral.
GCAGACAUGGGGUAAAGGUAUCCCAACAGAUUGCUAAUCUGUCCAGCACAUAAGUGCUGCGAAGGUUCGAGUCCUUCUGUCUGCG